UCCGAUAUGGUCUAGUGGCUAGGAUUUGCCGCUCUCAUCGAGAGUCUGUUCACUCAGUGCCGGCAAGGCCCGGGUUCGAUUCCCGGUGUCGGAA
This 94-nucleotide transfer RNA is filed under the name Pyrenochaeta sp. DS3sAY3a. It matches the Rfam family "tRNA". From Rfam's summary of the family: Transfer RNA (tRNA) molecules are approximately 80 nucleotides in length. The record is from Rfam by way of RNAcentral. Lineage: Eukaryota; Fungi; Ascomycota; Dothideomycetes; Pleosporales; Cucurbitariaceae.